Molecule: ribosomal RNA, 319 nt
Filed under: uncultured eukaryote
Lineage: Eukaryota
Description: partial 18S ribosomal RNA
Rfam family: Eukaryotic small subunit ribosomal RNA
Source: RNAcentral
CCCUUAGAUGUUCUGGGCAGCACGCGCGCUACAAUGGUCUUCGCAAACGGAUGCAUUCUCGAAGGAGAAUGCCAAUCUUGGAAUCUAUGCCUUGGUCGGGACAGUUGCUUGCAAUUUUUCGACUCGAACCAGGAAUUCCUUGUAAUCGUGAUUCAUCACAUCCCGAUGAAUACGUCCCUGCCCUUUGUACACACCGCCCGUCGCUCCUACCGAUCGAAGAGUUAGGUGAAUUGUUUUGAUCGAUAAGAUUUGACUAUGGUCAACUCUCGUUGUGAAAUUCUGUGAAUCUGACUGUUUAGAGGAAGGAAAAGUCGUAACA